AUACGGAGGGUGCGAGCGUUAAUCGGAAUUACUGGGCGUAAAGCGUACGUAGGCGGUUCGUUAAGUUAGAUGUGAAAGCCCCGGGCUUAACCUGGGAACUGCAUUUAAAACUGGCGAACUAGAGUUGAGUAGAGGGGAGUGGAAUUUCAGGUGUAGCGGUGAAAUGCGUAGAGAUACGAAGGAACACCAGUGGCGAAGGCGACUCCCUGGACUCGAACUGACGCUGAGGUACGAAAGCGUGGGUAGCAAACGGGAUUAGAAACCCCAGUAGUCC
RNAcentral lists this ribosomal RNA (274 nucleotides) under uncultured bacterium. RNAcentral's name for it is "partial 16S ribosomal RNA". It matches the Rfam family "Bacterial small subunit ribosomal RNA", at positions 523 to 796 of the family's 1533-position model. The record is from RNAcentral.